UACGUAGGGGGCUAGCGUUAUCCGGAUUUACUGGGCGUAAAGGGUGCGUAGGUGGUUUCUUAAGUCAGGAGUGAAAGGCUACGGCUCAACCGUAGUAAGCUCUUGAAACUGGGAAACUUGAGUGCAGGAGAGGAAAGUGGAAUUCCUAGUGUAGCGGUGAAAUGCGUAGAUAUUAGGAGGAACACCAGUAGCGAAGGCGGCUUUCUGGACUGUAACUGACACUGAGGCAAGAAAGCGUGGGGAGCAAACAGG
This 252-nucleotide ribosomal RNA is filed under the name uncultured bacterium. RNAcentral describes it as "partial 16S ribosomal RNA". It matches the Rfam family "Bacterial small subunit ribosomal RNA", at positions 524 to 776 of the family's 1533-position model. The record is from RNAcentral.